This 255-nucleotide long non-coding RNA is filed under the name Marmota monax (woodchuck). Lineage: Eukaryota; Metazoa; Chordata; Mammalia; Rodentia; Sciuridae. The record is from RNAcentral.
GUUCAAAACAUUACAAAGCUCUUGAUAUAUCAUAUUUCAUACAUUUGAUUCAAGUGGGUUAUGAACUCCCAUUUUUACCCCGUAUACAGAUUGCAGAAUCACAUCGGUUACACAUCCACGUUUUUACAUAUUGCCAUACUAGUGACUAUUGUAUUCUGCUAUCUUUCCUAUCCUCUACUAUCCCCCCUUCCCUCCCUUCCAACUUCUCUCUCUACCCCAUCUACUGUAAUUCAUUUCUCUCCCUUGAUUUUUUUU